RNAcentral lists this transfer RNA (77 nucleotides) under Xanthomonas campestris. RNAcentral describes it as "tRNA-Arg". It matches the Rfam family "tRNA". Rfam says of the family: Transfer RNA (tRNA) molecules are approximately 80 nucleotides in length. Their secondary structure includes four short double-helical elements and three loops (D, anti-codon, and T loops). Further hydrogen bonds mediate the characteristic L-shaped molecular structure. tRNAs have two regions of fundamental functional importance: the anti-codon, which is responsible for specific mRNA codon recognition, and the 3' end, to which the tRNAs corresponding amino acid is attached (by aminoacyl-tRNA synthetases). tRNAs cope with the degeneracy of the genetic code in two manners: having more than one tRNA (with a specific anti-codon) for a particular amino acid; and 'wobble' base-pairing, i.e. permitting non-standard base-pairing at the 3rd anti-codon position. RNAcentral also lists the same sequence under 2 other names. The record is from RNAcentral. Lineage: Bacteria; Pseudomonadati; Pseudomonadota; Gammaproteobacteria; Lysobacterales; Lysobacteraceae.
GGCCCCGUAGCUCAGCUGGAUAGAGCGUCCCCCUCCUAAGGGGAAGGUCGCCCGUUCGAAUCGGGCCGGGGUCACAA